This 400-nucleotide ribosomal RNA is filed under the name uncultured bacterium. RNAcentral describes it as "bacterial SSU rRNA". It matches the Rfam family "Bacterial small subunit ribosomal RNA", at positions 355 to 753 of the family's 1533-position model. The record is from RNAcentral.
UAGGGAAUAUUGGACAAUGGGUGCGAGCCUGAUCCAGCCAUGCCGCGUGCAGGAAGACGGCCUUCUGGGUUGUAAACUGCUUUUGCCAGGGGAUAAAACGGCUCUGCGGAGCUAAUUGAAGGUACCUGGUGAAUAAGCCACGGCUAACUACGUGCCAGCAGCCGCGGUAAUACGUAGGUGGCAAGCGUUGUCCGGAUUUAUUGGGUUUAAAGGGUGCGUAGGUGGUUCCAUAAGUCAGUGGUGAAAUACGGCAGCUUAACUGUCGAGGUGCCAUUGAUACUGCGGAACUUGAGUACAGACGAGGUAGGCGGAAUUGACGGUGUAGCGGUGAAAUGCUUAGAUAUCGUCAAGAACACCGAUAGCGAAGGCAGCUUACUAGACUGUAACUGACACUGAGGCA